GAUGAACGCUGGCGGCGUGCCUAAUACAUGCAAGUCGAGCGAACGGACGAGAAUCUUGCUUCUCUGAUGUUAGCGGCGGACGGGUGAGUAAUACGUGGCUAACUUACCUAUAAGACUGGGAUAACUUCGCGAAACCUGAGCUAAUACCGGAUAAUAUUUUGAACCGCAUGGUUCAAAAGUGAAAGACGUUCUUGCUGUCACUUAUAGAUAGAUCCGCGCUGCAUUAGCUAGUUGGUAAGGUAACGGCUUACCAAGGCAACGAUGCAUAGCCGACCUGAGAGGGUGAUCGGACACACUGGAACUGAGACACGGUCCAGACUCCUACGGGAGGCAGCAGUAGGGAAUCUUCCGCAAUGGGCGAAAGCCUGACGGAGCAACGCCGCGUGAGUGAUGAAGGUCUUCGGAUCGUAAAACUCUGUUAUUAGGGAAGAACAUAAGUGUAAGUAACUGUGCCCAUCUUGACGGUACCUACACAGAAAGCCCCGGCUAACUACGUG
Molecule: ribosomal RNA, 497 nt
Filed under: uncultured bacterium
Lineage: Bacteria
Description: partial 16S ribosomal RNA
Rfam family: Bacterial small subunit ribosomal RNA
Source: RNAcentral